AGCCUUGAGGUGUCAUCACGUAAGAUUGCAAAUCUUAAAUAGCAGACAACCCCCCUGCCGAGGCUU
RNAcentral lists this transfer RNA (66 nucleotides) under Eviota japonica. RNAcentral's name for it is "tRNA-Cys". Lineage: Eukaryota; Metazoa; Chordata; Actinopteri; Gobiiformes; Gobiidae. The record is from RNAcentral.